RNAcentral lists this ribosomal RNA (492 nucleotides) under uncultured bacterium. Its description in RNAcentral is "partial 16S ribosomal RNA". It matches the Rfam family "Bacterial small subunit ribosomal RNA", at positions 29 to 507 of the family's 1533-position model. The record is from RNAcentral.
AGUGAACGCUGGCGGUAGGCCUAAUACAUGCAAGUCGAACGGCAGCACAGUAAGCGCUUGCUCUUACGGGUGGCGAGUGGCGGACGGGUGAGGCAUACAUCGGAAUCUACUUUUUCGUGGGGGAUAACGUAGGGAAACUUACGCUAAUACCGCAUACGAUCUACGGGUGAAAGCAGGGGAUCUUCGGACCUUGCCCGAUUGAAUGAGCCGAUGUCGGAUUAGCUAGUUGGCGGGGUAAAGGCCCACCAAGGCGACGAUCCGUAGCUGGUCUGAGAGGAUGAUCAGCCACACUGGAACUGAGACACGGUCCAGACUCCUACGGGAGGCAGCAGUGGGGAAUAUUGGGCAAUGGGCGCAAGCCUGAUCCAGCCAUACCGCGUGAGUGAAGAAGGCCUUCGGGUUGUAAAGCCCUUUUGUUGGGAAAGAAAAGCAGCAGGUUAAUACCCCGCUGUUCUGACGGUACCCAAAGAAUAAGCACCGGCUAACUUCGUG